RNAcentral lists this ribosomal RNA (303 nucleotides) under Triticum aestivum (bread wheat). Its description in RNAcentral is "partial small subunit ribosomal RNA". The record is from RNAcentral. Lineage: Eukaryota; Viridiplantae; Streptophyta; Magnoliopsida; Poales; Poaceae.
AUGACACUCAUCAGUUGGAACUGUCGGGGUUUGGGGCAACCCCGGACAGUUCGCGAACUAGUGGGUCUCGUGCACAUCUACAGACCCAAACUAGUUUUCAUCUCUGAAACACGGCAAAGCAAUGAUGUAGUGAAUAAGUUGAGAUGGAGGCUUGGCCUCAAACACUGUAUCGUGCAACCCGGCGUCGGGAAAGGCGUCGGCAUUGCACUCUUCUAUGAUGAGUCAGUCGAAAUAAAAGAGCUUGCCGUUGGCCCCCGGUACAUCGAUGUGUUAAUCCGUCUAAGUCCAAAUAGCUCACAAUAG